GGGCCGUUAGCUCAGUUGGUAGAGCAGUUGGCUUUUAACCAAUUGGUCGCUGGUUCGAGCCCAGCACGGCCCA
Molecule: transfer RNA, 73 nt
Filed under: Parahalioglobus pacificus
Lineage: Bacteria; Pseudomonadati; Pseudomonadota; Gammaproteobacteria; Cellvibrionales; Halieaceae
Also listed under: 2 other names
Description: gamma proteobacterium S1-72 tRNA
Rfam family: tRNA
About the family: Transfer RNA (tRNA) molecules are approximately 80 nucleotides in length. Their secondary structure includes four short double-helical elements and three loops (D, anti-codon, and T loops). Further hydrogen bonds mediate the characteristic L-shaped molecular structure. tRNAs have two regions of fundamental functional importance: the anti-codon, which is responsible for specific mRNA codon recognition, and the 3' end, to which the tRNAs corresponding amino acid is attached (by aminoacyl-tRNA synthetases). tRNAs cope with the degeneracy of the genetic code in two manners: having more than one tRNA (with a specific anti-codon) for a particular amino acid; and 'wobble' base-pairing, i.e. permitting non-standard base-pairing at the 3rd anti-codon position.
Source: Rfam by way of RNAcentral